This 440-nucleotide ribosomal RNA is filed under the name uncultured bacterium. Its description in RNAcentral is "partial 16S ribosomal RNA". It matches the Rfam family "Bacterial small subunit ribosomal RNA", at positions 338 to 795 of the family's 1533-position model. The record is from RNAcentral.
CCUACGGGGGGCAGCAGUCGGGAAUAUUGCGCAAUGGAGGAAACUCUGACGCAGUGACGCCGCGUAUAGGAAGAAGGUUUUCGGAUUGUAAACUAUUGUCGUUAGGGAAGAAAAUGACGGUACCUGACUAAGAAGCCCCGGCUAACUACGUGCCAGCAGCCGCGGUAAUACGUAGGGGGCAAGCGUUAUCCGGAUUUACUGGGUGUAAAGGGAGCGUAGACGGCGCUGCAAGUCCGGAGUGAAAGUCCAUGGCUUAACCAUGGUACUGCUCUGGAAACUGUGGAGCUUGAGUGCGGGAGGGGCAGGCGGAAUUCCUAGUGUAGCGGUGAAAUGCGUAGAUAUUAGGAGGAACACCGGCGGCGAAGGCGGCCUGCUGGACCGUAACUGACGUUGAGGCUCGAAAGCGUGGGGAGCAAACAGGAUUAGAUACCCGGGUAGUC